AAUCAACGCUGGCGGCGUGCCUAACACAUGCAAGUCGAACGCGAAAGUCCCGCAAGGGGCAAGUAGAGUGGCAAACGGGUGAGUAACACGUGGGUGACCUGCCUUCGAGUGGGGGAUAACGUCCCGAAAAGGGACGCUAAUACCGCAUGACAUCCUGCUUUUGGAAAAGCGGAGAUCAAAGCCGGGGAUCGCAAGACCUGGCGCUCGAAGAGGGGCCCGCGCCUGAUUAGCUAGUUGGNGAGGUACGCUCACCAGCUACGAUCAGUAUCCGGCUGAGAGGGCGGACGACACAC
This 293-nucleotide ribosomal RNA is filed under the name uncultured bacterium. RNAcentral describes it as "partial 16S ribosomal RNA". It matches the Rfam family "Bacterial small subunit ribosomal RNA", at positions 32 to 313 of the family's 1533-position model. The record is from RNAcentral.